UAUAAUCUGGCACCUUCGGUGUCCGAGUUGUAAUCUCUAGAAGUGUUUUCCGCGUUGGACCGCACACAAGUCUGUUGGAAUACAGCGGCAUAGUGGUGAGACCCCCGUAUAUGGUGCGGACGCCCAACGCUUUGUGAUACACUUUCGAAGAGUCGAGUUGUUUGGGAAUGCAGCUCAAAUUGGGUGGUAAAUUCCAUCUAAAGCUAAAUAUUGGCGAGAGACCGAUAGCGAACAAGUACCGUGAGGGAAAGAUGAAAAGCACUUUGGAAAGAGAGUUAACAGUACGUGAAAUUGUUGGAAGGGAAACGCUUGAAGUCAGACUUGCUUGCCGAGCAAUCGGUUUGCAGGCCAGCAUCAGUUUUCCGGGGUGGAUAAUGGUAGAGAGAAGGUAGCAGUUUCGGCUGUGUUAUAGCUCUCUGCUGGAUACACCUUGGGGGACUGAGGAACGCAGUGUGCCUUACGGCGGAUUUCUCGAGAUCUUCACACUUAGGAUGCUGGUGGAAUGGCUUUAAACGACCCGUCUUGAAACACGGACCAUCCUGCUUAUUU
This 549-nucleotide ribosomal RNA is filed under the name Rhodotorula taiwanensis. Its description in RNAcentral is "partial large subunit ribosomal RNA". It matches the Rfam family "Eukaryotic large subunit ribosomal RNA", at positions 116 to 664 of the family's 3401-position model. The record is from RNAcentral. Lineage: Eukaryota; Fungi; Basidiomycota; Microbotryomycetes; Sporidiobolales; Sporidiobolaceae.